GAUGAAGAACGUAGCGAAAUGCGAUACGUAAUGUGAAUUGCAGAUCUCUCAGUGAACCAUCGAAUUUUUGAACGCACAUUGCGCCCCCUGGUAUUCCGGGGGGCAUGCCUGUCCGAGCGUCAUUACAACCCUCAAGCUCAGCUUGGUGUUGGGCCCCGCCGCCCCGGCGGGCCCUAAAGUCAGUGGCGGUGCCGUCCGGCUCCGAGCGUAGUAAUUCUUCUCGCUCUGGAGGUCCGGUCGUGUGCUCGCCAGCAACCCCCAAUUUUUUUCAGGUUGACCUCGGAUCAGGUAGGGAUACCCGCUGAACUUAAGCAUAUCAAUAAGCGGAGGA
RNAcentral lists this unclassified non-coding RNA (331 nucleotides) under soil metagenome. RNAcentral describes it as "partial contains 5.8S ribosomal RNA, internal transcribed spacer 2, and large subunit ribosomal RNA". The stretch from base 1 to 122 matches the Rfam family "5.8S ribosomal RNA", at positions 35 to 154 of the family's 154-position model. The record is from RNAcentral.